AUGAGAUAAGAUCCCAUCUACCCAGAGUACAUCAAAUGAAGCUCUAAUGGUAAUCCCAUCUCCAAUCCUAAUAUAAGAACUUAACUCUACCCUUUGCCCUUUUUCUAAUCAUUCUUUUCUUUUCUCUUAACUCUAGGAGAAGCUUUCUCAACACUUUGAUACAUCUAGCGGAUUUGGAUUUCUUUAACAACUAAGGUUCUUGUUUUAAA
Molecule: small RNA, 209 nt
Filed under: Arabidopsis thaliana (thale cress)
Lineage: Eukaryota; Viridiplantae; Streptophyta; Magnoliopsida; Brassicales; Brassicaceae
Description: ATSL273100
Source: RNAcentral